RNAcentral lists this small RNA (121 nucleotides) under Moorella sp. (in: firmicutes). RNAcentral describes it as "partial 6S RNA". It matches the Rfam family "6S / SsrS RNA", at positions 67 to 187 of the family's 187-position model. Rfam says of the family: E. coli 6S RNA was the first non coding RNA to be sequenced, but its function was unknown until recently. It consists of 184 nucleotides that fold into an extended hairpin structure with a large single-stranded internal bulge. The record is from RNAcentral. Lineage: Bacteria; Bacillati; Bacillota; Clostridia; Neomoorellales; Neomoorellaceae.
CCUCUGGGCGUGGCUUGCAGGCCCCCAUUGUCAGGGGAAGCAAAAAGCGGUCAGGGAGGCACCCACCUGCGAGAGCGGGUUCAUUAAACACACGGUGGGGCACGGCAUUUGUGGGGUUUUA